Molecule: long non-coding RNA, 1055 nt
Organism: Bombyx mori (domestic silkworm)
Lineage: Eukaryota; Metazoa; Arthropoda; Insecta; Lepidoptera; Bombycidae
Exons: 2
Source: RefSeq, a predicted model, not a curated record
AAUCUACAAUGAUUGAGGGUAUCUACCUACACAAAAAAGCCGUAGGAAAAGCAGGAAAUCGUAGUUACUGUAAAUCUCUGAUCAGCUGGAAUACUCCAGGAACUUCAUAAUUAUAACUCGUUUCCUCAUCUUGAAUUAGGUAUAUGGGAUUGUGGAACGGGUAGACUAAAAUCACGGCAUUAUGGUAAAACAAACUAAAAUUGUGAAUACGGUGAUGAAACGGUAACGUGUUGAAGCGGCUAACAUUGCUAACACUUGUUUUAAAUAAAUAAAAAAAGGUGCGUGUACUUAUGUACGCGCGUAAGAAGUUAUACUUUAUUUUUAUUAAAGUUACUUCUUUUUUUAUUUUAAUCAAUUUGAAAAACAACAUCCUCAAACACGAAUAUUGGACAUCCCUUUUGUUGACAUUGUAUAAAUUCGAUAAUUCUCGGUACGGUUCGGAAAGUUCACCUGCGGCUAUAUUCAGACUCGCCAAGUUACGUCGGUCGUAUUGUAAUGAGAGAUUUAGUGGGCAUUAGUGGGCAACUUCAUUUCUGUUAAUUUUGUGUCACGGUGCGCGCGCAUCGUAAAAUUUCACUCUCAUCAAUUUUUAAUAACGCGCCUAAAGAAGUAUAACUUCAAGAAAUAAUCGAAGUUGUGUUUAUUUAUGGUAUUGUGGCACAAAUUAAUUCGGGAUUUAUAGGGAGACUUAUCAAAGUUAGCAACCCAGCACGAUGAAGCUAAAUCUAAUAAUAACAUUUGAACAAUCGACACAGUGUUCUUUACAUUAUCACUUAGUUACAAAUGUUAUCAGCUAAAUUGUAGUAUGUGAUAACCUCUGUUUGAAUGACUGCUCGCUCCUACACAUAAAAUUAUAACGAUUAUGGUUUUUGUGUAGCCUGUAUGUACAUAAUUUUUCUUAAAGCUAACAGUAAUUAUGUCAUGUUGAUCAUAGAAGAAGAAAAAACCAAUAAGUUUUAAUGUUAAUUAUAUUUAAAAUUUCAUUUUUCAUAUCUCUGUGAAUUCAAUACCAGUAACAAUAAGAAUGAUUAAUAAAUAAUGUUAUACUUGAUAAA